GCUCAGGAUGAACGCUGGCGGCGUGCCUAAUACAUGCAAGUCGAACGAGUUCUGAUUAUUGAAAGGUGCUUGCAUCUUGAUUUAAUUUUGAACGAGUGGCGGACGGGUGAGUAACACGUGGGUAACCUGCCCUUAAGUGGGGGAUAACAUUUGGAAACAGAUGCUAAUACCGCAUAAAUCCAAGAACCGCAUGGUUCUUGGCUGAAAGAUGGCGUAAGCUAUCGCUUUUGGAUGGACCCGCGGCGUAUUAGCUAGUUGGUGAGGUAACGGCUCACCAAGGCAAUGAUACGUAGCCGAACUGAGAGGUUGAUCGGCCACAUUGGGACUGAGACACGGCCCAAACUCCUACGGGAGGCAGCAGUAGGGAAUCUUCCACAAUGGACGCAAGUCUGAUGGAGCAACGCCGCGUGAGUGAAGAAGGCUUUCGGGUCGUAAAACUCUGUUGUUGGAGAAGAAUGGUCGGCAGAGUAACUGUUGUCGGCGUGACGGUAUCCAACCAGAAAGCCACGGCUAACUACGUGCCAGCAGCCGCGGUAAUACGUAGGUGGCAAGCGUUAUCCGGAUUUAUUGGGCGUAAAGCGAGCGCAGGCGGUUUUUUAAGUCUGAUGUGAAAGCCCUCGGCUUAACCGAGGAAGUGCAUCGGAAACUGGRAAACUUGAGUGCAGAAGAGGACAGUGGAACUCCAUGUGUAGCGGUGAAAUGCGUAGAUAUAUGGAAGAACACCAGUGGCGAARGCGGCUGUCUGGUCUGUAACUGACGCUGAGGCUCGAAAGCAUGGGUAGCGAACAGGAUUAGAUACCCUGGUAGUCCAUGCCGUAAACGAUGAAUGCUAGGUGUUGGAGGGUUUCCGCCCUUCAGUGCCGCAGCUAACGCAUUAAGCAUUCCGCCUGGGGAGUACGACCGCAAGGUUGAAACUCAAAGGAAUUGACGGGGGCCCGCACAAGCGGUGGAGCAUGUGGUUUAAUUCGAAGCAACGCGAAGAACCUUACCAGGUCUUGACAUCUUUUGAUCACCUGAGAGAUCAGGUUUCCCCUUCGGGGGCAAAAUGACAGGUGGUGCAUGGUUGUCGUCAGCUCGUGUCGUGAGAUGUUGGGUUAAGUCCCGCAACGAGCGCAACCCUUAUGACUAGUUGCCAGCAUUUAGUUGGGCACUCUAGUAAGACUGCCGGUGACAAACCGGAGGAAGGUGGGGAUGACGUCAAAUCAUCAUGCCCCUUAUGACCUGGGCUACACACGUGCUACAAUGGAUGGUACAACGAGUUGCGAGACCGCGAGGUCAAGCUAAUCUCUUAAAGCCAUUCUCAGUUCGGACUGUAGGCUGCAACUCGCCUACACGAAGUCGGAAUCGCUAGUAAUCGCGGAUCAGCACGCCGCGGUGAAUACGUUCCCGGGCCUUGUACACACCGCCCGUCACACCAUGAGAGUUUGUAACACCCGAAGCCGGUGGCGUAACCCUUUUAGGGAGCGAGCCGUCUAAGGUGGGACAAAUGAUUAGGGUG
RNAcentral lists this ribosomal RNA (1498 nucleotides) under Lacticaseibacillus rhamnosus. RNAcentral describes it as "bacterial SSU rRNA". It matches the Rfam family "Bacterial small subunit ribosomal RNA". Lineage: Bacteria; Bacillati; Bacillota; Bacilli; Lactobacillales; Lactobacillaceae. The record is from RNAcentral.